This 489-nucleotide ribosomal RNA is filed under the name uncultured Actinomycetes bacterium. RNAcentral describes it as "uncultured actinobacterium partial 16S ribosomal RNA". Lineage: Bacteria; Bacillati; Actinomycetota; Actinomycetes. The record is from RNAcentral.
CACGUAGUUGGCCGCACCUUCUUCUGAAAGUACCGUCAGUUUCGUUCCUUCUGAAAGCGGUUUACAACCCGAGGGCCUUCUUCCCGCACGCGGCGUUGCUGCAUCAGGCUUUCGCCCAUUGUGCAAGAUUCCCCACUGCUGCCUCCCGUAGGAGUCUGGGCCGUGUCUCAGUCCCAGUGUGGCUGAUCAUCCUCUCAGACCAGCUACCCGUCGAUGCCUUGGUAGGCCAUUACCCCACCAACAAGCUGAUAGGCCGCGAGGCUCUCCCGAUCCAGUAACCCUUUCGUCAGUACUCCAUGCGAAGUUCCGACGUCAUCCGGUAUUAGCAGUCGUUUCCAACUGUUAUCCCAGAGACCGGGACAAGUUCCUCACGUGUUACGCACCCGUUCGCCACUAGAUCUUCAUCAGUAUUGCUACUGAAUGGAUCUCGUUCGACUUGCAUGUGUUAAGCACGCCGCCAGCGUUCGUCCUGAGCCAGGAUCAAACUCU